Molecule: ribosomal RNA, 253 nt
Filed under: uncultured bacterium
Lineage: Bacteria
Description: partial 16S ribosomal RNA
Rfam family: Bacterial small subunit ribosomal RNA
Source: RNAcentral
UACGAAGGGGGCUAGCAUUGCUCGGAAUCACUGGGCGUAAAGCGCACGUAGGCGGCUUCUUAAGUCAGGGGUGAAAUCCUGGAGCUCAACUCCAGAACUGCCUUUGAUACUGAGAAGCUUGAGUCCGGGAGAGGUGAGUGGAACUGCGAGUGUAGAGGUGAAAUUCGUAGAUAUUCGCAAGAACACCAGUGGCGAAGGCGGCUCACUGGCCCGGUACUGACGCUGAGGAGCGAAAGCCAGGGGAGCAAACGGG